GUUUAAUAUAUUUAUCAAUUUGUAUCAGUGCAAGUUUGCAGAUAAGGGCUGAGUCUUCGUUUCUUUUCUGUAUUUGGAAUGAGUCCUCGUUAACGGGAACCAAGGUAUGCCAACAAUCUACUACCAUCAUAAUAUUCCUUGAAAAAUGUUACCCAGCAACCUCGGGAUGGCUCUUUAGCCAUAACUGUAUUGGCAACACUGUCAAAACUAACGCCAGCGCCAUUUCACAGACAAAUUCCUUCUUGUGUAAUUUGUUGCGGUUUAUCAAAGAUUAUCUACGAUUUACAGAGCCUCAAAUUGAUACAUAACCCUUCGCAUGAAUCAAGUAAACCUCUCUCAUCGAGAAUGAGUUUUCGUCAGUGACUGAAACACAGGGAGAGGACGUAAAGUGUGGCAUUCAUGUGUGCAUUAUAUGCUUUCUGACACGAGGACGAUGAUAUGCAGUUACCGUUAUGCAACCAAAUAACCCCUAAGAGAUGGAAAGAGAAGGCUGGCUCAGUGUUGAGUACCCGUUGGUCGGACCUCUUUCGUACUCAGCCCACCCACUGACCCCUCCCACAUCCUGUUUCCGGUGCUUCCAAGUUCUCACAUGGUCAAGAUUGGCUGGAGCCAUUUCUUCUUCCAUUUCUCCGCUUGUCGCUGAAGUGAUUUCCCUCCAGUUUCUCACAAUGGUUGGUCUUUAGCCCUUAUAACCUCCAUUACAACUCCAUCACCGAUUCCAAACCAAGGAUAGAUUGGACUCCUCCUAUCCAAUAAACCCAACGAUACAACCCAUUUGAAUAUCUUACAGAACUUUGAGCUGAGCUUUAUCUUAGCAAUUCAAAAAUAAGUAUUAGAAAGUUGGUGUUGGCAAUCUUACGAGGAACACUCCAAUCGAUGCUUGGUGACCGAACACAGUUCCAUUCGUGAAGGUAGUAAGUUGGCCGGGCUCUUUGGCUCUCUGCUAGUACUUCUUCCUCAUCCCAUGACACUAAGUGCCUCAUCAAGCCUGAUCCACUUAUAUUGGGACCACUUGUGGAGUUGGGUCGCCAGAAUGGAACAAUACCCACCGACGAGAGGCAUCAUAAAAUCCCUCCAAAUAUUGGCUCGUGAUUCGGAUGGAUCCAGAUACAACCCUCGACCCUCGAAAUUGGUCCAAUUGCAUCCUUGGUUAUAUCAGUACUUGCUCAAUCAUUUUGGCGUCUGUUUUGAUGAUUAUUUUGCCUUUUCGAACUGGCCUAAGUUUAACAUAAAGUGAAAAAGCAGAUCACGGAAGAAAACUACCUGAUAAACUUGAUAACAAAAUUUGUUAUACACAGCCAUAACUUAUUUUUUGACUUUUGUAUGCUCAAAUACGAGAAGUGCAAAUUGUUGGCAAAAAUGACAUUUCCGUUGAAUAUGUGAAACUUAGGUCUGCUGAUAGUUCCUAAAACUCAAUACUCAGAGAAAAACCAUUUUCGAUUGAAAUAAGAUAGCGUUCCCAAUCAAACAAACAAAUGCUGGAAAUGAUUUCUCCGAAUACCUGAUGAUGUGAUCCAAGCUUUGUACCAUUACCUUCCUAAAGUAUCAAAACUUCUGUUUCAUAGAGUACGAACGUACAUUGAUAAUACUGAAAACCAUUUUUUAAUAUGUGAUACAUUCAUUCACGAGCACUUUUGUCCCUAGAAGUAACCUUUUAAUGGGAAAUAUAUUCCACCUUUGUACUAGUA
Tigriopus californicus is the source of this 1688-nucleotide long non-coding RNA. RefSeq lists it as uncharacterized. The transcript is spliced from 2 exons. The record is from RefSeq and is a predicted model, not a curated record. Lineage: Eukaryota; Metazoa; Arthropoda; Copepoda; Harpacticoida; Harpacticidae.